UGUGCUUGGGCUUACCCCAACAAAAACCUCCCACUAUAAAUUAAUUUUAUGUACUACUUUAUAGGGUAAAAUUUGUGUAAUAAUGCUCUCUAUGCUUUUAAUAUAUAAAUAGGACAUGAUGGUUUGUUAGAAGUACCUCGCUUAUAAAGAUUUCCCCACCAUGAUCUUGCCACAUAGCAGUCUCGAGACCUUAGACCUGGUCAAGGACAACACAACACUUCAUUAAGUUAAAU
RNAcentral lists this long non-coding RNA (233 nucleotides) under Gossypium barbadense (sea-island cotton). Its description in RNAcentral is "long non-coding RNA (GBAR_LNC018187)". The record is from RNAcentral. Lineage: Eukaryota; Viridiplantae; Streptophyta; Magnoliopsida; Malvales; Malvaceae.